Molecule: long non-coding RNA, 701 nt
Filed under: Coturnix japonica (Japanese quail)
Lineage: Eukaryota; Metazoa; Chordata; Aves; Galliformes; Phasianidae
Description: lncRNA (ENSCJPG00005003156.1)
Source: RNAcentral
AUCAGCGUGCUUUUUAUUGGAGGUGCAAAUUAUACAUAAUAACAUACAGCAAUUUUCAGUUAGAACUUUCGCAUUUUGCAGAAGUCCUUGCAUUUUUUUCAACAAAUAUAAGGGGAAGAAAAAUUCUCUCUUUUGUUUCCUCCCUUUCCCUUUUUCUUACAGAAAACAACGUCCAGGUUUUCUUGGAGCCAAUUAAGUCCAUUUGAAAUAAAGUUCUUUUAUUUUGGAUCAAGAGUGUCCACAUGGGGAGUUAAUCAAGAAUAAUUAUUCCUCUCUAAAUUCACAUCCUCAAAUAAUUUGAAUUAAAUCCCCAGCAUAGGAAAGCCCUAAAUGUCAGAGGAGGUUAAAAAAUAGUAGAGUAGACUAGAGGAGCUCUAUCAUAACAGAAAGCGAUGACAGUAAAACCAUCCUCUAUGCAGCCAGCCCAAGCCAGCAAGCGGAGCCAGCCAGGAUGGAUCCAGGUACAAAUGAUCCCACUCUCACUGUUCAGCCAUUUAAAGUCAACUGCUGUAUGUGUCCAUGGCACAGUUGCUAUGUACACUCUGUAUAGUGAUGUAAUAGUGGCAUCAGGCAGGAGAUGCUGCAGUCAUCAGAAGGAGCGAGUUCAGGCACAUCUCAGGAAGGAAUGUUGCUCAGGGAUGGAUGCCUUUCUCAGUUGUUUUCCCAGCUGGCUGCAGGUUCCUCUGCAAAGGGCACCGUAG